GGACUACUGGGGUUUCUAAUCCUGUUUGCUACCCACGCUUUCGCACCUCAGCGUCAGUUACGGGCCAGGUGGCCGCCUUCGCCACCGGUGUUCCUCCAGAUAUCUACGGAUUUCACCCCUACACCUGGAAUUCCGCCACCCUCUCCCGUACUCAAGUUAAGCAGUUUCAAAGGCAGUUCCGCGGUUAAGCCGCGGGAUUUCACCCCUGACUUACAAAACAGCCUACGCGCGCUUUACGCCCAGUAAUUCCGAUUAACGCUCGCACCCUCCGUAUUACCGCGGCUGCUGGCAC
RNAcentral lists this ribosomal RNA (292 nucleotides) under uncultured bacterium. RNAcentral's name for it is "partial 16S ribosomal RNA". The record is from RNAcentral.